UACAGAGGUCCCGAGCGUUGUUCGGAUUCACUGGGCGUAAAGGGUGCGUAGGUGGCAUGGUAAGUUUGAUGUGAAAGCUCAGGGCUCAACCCUGAAAUGGCAUUGAAUACUACUGUGCUGGAGGUUUGGAGGGGGGACUGGAAUUCUCGGUGUAGCAGUGAAAUGCGUAGAUAUCGAGAGGAACACCAGUGGCGAAGGCGAGUCCCUGGACAACACCUGACACUGAGGAGCGAAAGCCAGGGGAGCAAACGGG
Molecule: ribosomal RNA, 253 nt
Filed under: uncultured bacterium
Lineage: Bacteria
Description: partial 16S ribosomal RNA
Rfam family: Bacterial small subunit ribosomal RNA
Source: RNAcentral